This 522-nucleotide ribosomal RNA is filed under the name Triticum aestivum (bread wheat). RNAcentral's name for it is "partial small subunit ribosomal RNA". Lineage: Eukaryota; Viridiplantae; Streptophyta; Magnoliopsida; Poales; Poaceae. The record is from RNAcentral.
CAAAGAGCGGAAGCACAAAAGAGGAGGAAGAGCAUUCGCAUGGGUUCAUAUACACAAGAGGGGGACAAGUUGAUUUGCCAGUGUUGGAUGGAGAUUAGCCAAGAUCCGAGGACGGGCGCGCAACAAAAGGGCCUAGUUUUUUGGACGACAGUCCACAAAACUUUCCAUGAAAGGAAGAUGUUUGAGCCCUACCAAAUUACAAGCAAUCGUGGCAUCACCUCGAUUCAAAAGAGGUGGUUGUUCAUCCAACAAGAGUGCAACAAGUAUUGUGCCGCAUUUGAGAGCGUUGAAGCAUGGCCCGUGAGUGGUCUCGGCGAUGGGGACAUGGUAUGCUCUUCUCAUUCUAGUCCUUUCCUUGAUACGGCCAUGAGACUUUGGCCUUGUAUAUGUUUGCAUGUCCAAUUCUUGUUGAUCAUGUGGUGUAGGUAUUUCAAUCUUUGGAAGCAUUCAAGGCCCCACACAAUGACAAGCCAUUCACUCUUACGCAUUGUUGGACGAUCAUCAACAACUGCCCUAAGUUAA